CCCAAAUCACAUUUACACUUAUAACCCAAAUUACUAAAUAAACUCUUUAAGCCCAAUUUUAACCCAAACCCAAAUUGAGACUGCUCUAGCCCAAUUAAAUAAGCCUAACCCAAAACCUACUGGCCUAAUAACCCCAACCCAAAUACUUGGACCCAAUGGUCCAAUCAUGGACUCAGUAACCCAAUUCCAAGACUGGCCCAAAUGGCCCGGGAAAAUCGAAUCUUCUAGAAACCCUAGGGUUUCCCUUGUUACUAGGUGCCGCAGCCUCCGUACACCCCAGGCACGGCCCUCUUACGACCUCCGUACACUUCCAUAUUAGUCGAACCAGCGAGAAGGAAUGAAGCAAUAAUAACAAAAUCCAAUAGUAGUAUAGCAGGAAAAUAAAAUAGAUUUGAUUCUUUUUCCAUUUCUUUGAUAUUUUAUUAGAUUUGGCUAUAAAAGCCAAAUGAAAAACACUGUGUAAACCUUAUGCAUACAUGCAAUACAGAUAAAAAAAGUAGCAAAAAGAAAAAUAGUUUAUUCGAAGGUAUAUUUCCUUGUUUUUUAGCCUACGCACAUCGAAUAUAGCGUACAUACAUAUAUAGUUAUAGAAAAAAUACCAUUCUUUUACCUUUUUGGGCGAUCGGUAGAGAGGAAACCGAAUCAUUUUCUCGAUUCCUUUCAGCCGUCGUGAGAUUUCUGGGUGUUGUGAUUGCAGAUAUGAGUCGGAGGAAGGAAAUAGGUCGAAAAGGGCCCUUGGUUGGGUCUCGAACGUCACGUACGACAGCGUACGGCCAUGGCCCGAUGAUCGGAGCUUGGUCAGAAGUCAGAGCUCAGAGGGCUAGGGAGCAACGAGUACUCUCUUUUUUAUUUUAUUUUAUUUUUUA
This 866-nucleotide long non-coding RNA is filed under the name Gossypium barbadense (sea-island cotton). RNAcentral's name for it is "long non-coding RNA (GBAR_LNC007996)". Lineage: Eukaryota; Viridiplantae; Streptophyta; Magnoliopsida; Malvales; Malvaceae. The record is from RNAcentral.